GCCUGGGUGGCUCACUUGGUUAAGUGUCUGACUUUGGCUCAGGUCAUGACCUCAGUGCUUGUGGGUUUGAGCCCCUCUUUAGGCU
This 85-nucleotide transfer RNA is filed under the name Felis catus (domestic cat). It matches the Rfam family "tRNA". Rfam says of the family: Transfer RNA (tRNA) molecules are approximately 80 nucleotides in length. Their secondary structure includes four short double-helical elements and three loops (D, anti-codon, and T loops). Further hydrogen bonds mediate the characteristic L-shaped molecular structure. tRNAs have two regions of fundamental functional importance: the anti-codon, which is responsible for specific mRNA codon recognition, and the 3' end, to which the tRNAs corresponding amino acid is attached (by aminoacyl-tRNA synthetases). tRNAs cope with the degeneracy of the genetic code in two manners: having more than one tRNA (with a specific anti-codon) for a particular amino acid; and 'wobble' base-pairing, i.e. permitting non-standard base-pairing at the 3rd anti-codon position. Lineage: Eukaryota; Metazoa; Chordata; Mammalia; Carnivora; Felidae. The record is from Rfam by way of RNAcentral.